This 355-nucleotide transfer-messenger RNA is filed under the name Clostridia bacterium. It matches the Rfam family "transfer-messenger RNA". Rfam says of the family: Bacterial tmRNA, also known as 10Sa RNA or SsrA, is named for its dual tRNA and mRNA-like properties. Its role is to liberate the mRNA from a stalled ribosome. The record is from RNAcentral. Lineage: Bacteria; Bacillati; Bacillota; Clostridia.
GGGGCCGCAACGGUUUCGACUGUAUUUAAAGGGGAGAAUAUAAGCGCGCCGAAGUUUCUCGCACUUCGUUAAAUAGCGAGAGAAAAAAGUAACUGACAACAAUCGUUACGCUUUAGCCGCGUAAUUUUUUGCGGCUUGUCCUGCCCGCAGUCCUAUCGGGCGGUGUCGGGGCAUAAGAAAGAUAGGGAACUUUUUCGUUGUUUUGAAGGCGGCGGCGGAAAAGAAUCAAGCCGACUGCGUUUUGCGUAUUGCGUCUUGCCAUAGCGCAAAAUCAAGUUUUAAGCCAAGACUUUGCGCGGAGAAGGUUUUUCUGUUUUUAUGCAACACGCGAGUUCGACUCUCGCCGGUUCCACCA